AAGUGACCUGCGGAAGGAUCAUUA
RNAcentral lists this ribosomal RNA (24 nucleotides) under uncultured Cortinarius. RNAcentral describes it as "partial 18S ribosomal RNA". Lineage: Eukaryota; Fungi; Basidiomycota; Agaricomycetes; Agaricales; Cortinariaceae. The record is from RNAcentral.